GAUGAACGCUGGCGGCGUGCUUAACACAUGCAAGUCGAACGGAGUUUUAAUGAUUGAUUGACUUAGCUUGCUAUCGAGAGAUUUCAUUAAAACUUAGUGGCGGACGGGUGAGUAACGCGUGGGUAACCUGCCGUAUACAGGGGGACAACAGUUGGAAACGACUGCUAAUACCGCAUAAGCGCACAGCAUCGCAUGAUGCAGUGUGAAAAACUCCGGUGGUAUGAGAUGGACCCGCGUCUGAUUAGCUAGUUGGUGAGGUAACGGCUCACCAAGGCGACGAUCAGUAGCCGAACUGAGAGGUUGAUCGGCCACAUUGGGACUGAGACACGGCCCAGACUCCUACGGGAGGCAGCAGUGGGGAAUAUUGCGCAAUGGGGAAACCCUGACGCAGCAACGCCGCGUG
This 403-nucleotide ribosomal RNA is filed under the name uncultured bacterium. Its description in RNAcentral is "bacterial SSU rRNA". It matches the Rfam family "Bacterial small subunit ribosomal RNA", at positions 28 to 403 of the family's 1533-position model. The record is from RNAcentral.